CUUCCGUGACAUGAAAAAUCUCUUGGCCUCCUUUAACCCCACGUCAAAGCAUAACUUCAAGCUUUCAAUACUUCUAUCUAGCCACCUCCCCCACUCUUGGGAUCGAUUACUACUCUGCAAACCGUUUAAGCACCUUCAUGACUAAUGGCUUCUCAGAUUUCGCACUCUACUCCUUAUAUAAGCUCCAGUCGCAUUUUCACUAUUCACUAGAAGAUAAAAUUCAUCCGAGCUAAUUGAUGGGAGUGAGAUCGACCACAAAGUUUAGCUUACACUGAAAGACAUUUGAUCUUUUGGUUUGACAGUCGUUUCUUUUCCGGCACGUUGUAGUAAAAGGGUAAGUCUGGCUCAAACCGGUACAAAAUCAAUAAUGCUUAUUCGCUUAAAGCUAUGUUGAAGGACGACAUUGUUUUGGCAAAACCACGUCGCAGCUCUAGGUUUCGAAAAAAAAUCAUUACUGAUUCAAGUGGUAGUCUUGUAUUACUUUGCCUCAGCAACGACUUUAUUUAGGUUGUCUUCCAUUUGAUAUAAUUUCCUUCGUAACCCUUCAUUUCUCUUGCUAGACUGCCUUGGAAAGGCAUUUGUGCAGGUACCAAAAAAAAAUCAGAAUUAUGACAAGAAGAUCAUUGAAAAGAAAAAGCACUUUACAUCUGUUGAAGAGUCCACUUUGGUGAAGCUUUUCUUGGUUGAUUUGGUCUAUCCGGCUUUUGGAAGUGCAGGGAAGCUGCUACCGGACAGAUGGAUGAGAUGACUAUUUUCCAAAGAACGGUUAGAAAAAUUCAGUUGUGGAUAGUGUGGCUAGUGUAUAUUAAUUCAGUUGUAAAUAGUGAAUACUAUUGUGAGUUUUCAAAUUUCAAAAUGCUCUCCGACGCCGGUGGUGCAGGCGCACGCCGGCGUCGCCUCUGCCAGUCUCCCCUAGUCACGACUACAUCUUUAAUUCACUUCUGCCCUGUAUCUCUUAUGGCUUCUUUCAAUUUUGCUGCUCUGGAUCUGGAUCUAUUG
Long non-coding RNA from Raphanus sativus (radish), 999 nucleotides. RefSeq lists it as uncharacterized. The transcript has 3 exons. NCBI's taxonomy places the organism in Eukaryota, Viridiplantae, Streptophyta, Magnoliopsida, Brassicales, Brassicaceae. The record is from RefSeq and is a predicted model, not a curated record.